CUCAUGAUGAGACUAAGUCGAAUGCGACUCCAGCCCUUGUCCUUGACCCACCACCACCACCACUGGGGGCGGGUUUUCUGGUGGCAUCUGAAACCUCAGCGGGAUCCCUGAGGUCUGGCUCCUUGCUGUAAGGCAGAUCAAUAGCACAGCAGCCUCACCCCCCUCCAUCUCUGCUGCUGUUUCUAAUCCCUAACAGAUACAUAUAUCUGGGUACCAAGUAGAAACUUAUGGGGACUAGCAUUGAACCUCAAACAUCCUCAAUUUCUCA
Molecule: small nucleolar RNA, 268 nt
Organism: Suncus etruscus (white-toothed pygmy shrew)
Lineage: Eukaryota; Metazoa; Chordata; Mammalia; Eulipotyphla; Soricidae
Source: RefSeq, a predicted model, not a curated record